This 334-nucleotide unclassified non-coding RNA is filed under the name soil metagenome. RNAcentral describes it as "partial contains 5.8S ribosomal RNA, internal transcribed spacer 2, and large subunit ribosomal RNA". The stretch from base 1 to 120 matches the Rfam family "5.8S ribosomal RNA", at positions 35 to 154 of the family's 154-position model. The record is from RNAcentral.
GAUGAAGAACGUAGCGAAAUGCGAUAAGUAGUGUGAAUUGCAGAAUUCAGUGAAUCAUCGAAUCUUUGAACGCACAUUGCGCCCCUUGGUAUUCCAUGGGGCAUGCCUGUUCGAGCGUCAUUUGUACCUUCAAGCUUUGCUUGGUGUUGGGUGUUUGUCCAUUCUCUUGCAGAGGGACUCGCCUUAAAGUAAUUGGCAGCCAGUAUUUUGGUUUUGAAGCGCAGCACAAGUCGCGAUUCAAAGCUAUACGCCCGCUUCCACAAGCCUUUUUCACUUUUGACCUCGGAUCAGGUAGGGAUACCCGCUGAACUUAAGCAUAUCAAUAAGCGGAGGA